Molecule: long non-coding RNA, 1853 nt
Filed under: Sus scrofa (pig)
Lineage: Eukaryota; Metazoa; Chordata; Mammalia; Artiodactyla; Suidae
Description: lncRNA (ENSSSCG00050027050.1)
Source: RNAcentral
GGGGGCGGGCCCGGAGGGUCUCCAGCGCGCAGGCGCCUCCCUCCCGCCUUCCCCGCCCCGGCUCCGGGGCGCGAGGCCUGCGGCGGGGACGCGGACUGAGGCCCGUGCUGCAUCAAGGCACAGAGAGGCGCGUUCGUUUUCUCGAGGACACACGGCGGGUGUGAGCCCACGCGAGAACGCAGCCCGCGGUGCUGAUUCCGGUUGUCUGAGCGCCAGCGUUACAGGUCCAGUCGUCUGCCUUCAGGACAAGCACCAUCAUGCCCCUUCUGGUGCCCAGGUGGCCUGCGUGGCUCUUCUGGUGGCGGGCAGCCUGCACUCGGAGAGCCUUCGUGCAGCAGAGGAUGUGGGCAGGGGCCACCAGGAUCUCUGGGCUGGGCGGCCCCGCGGGGGCCCUGGGCACCAGCCCCCUGGUCCGAAGAGGCAGUUCCUCUGCUUCCUCCAGUGCUCCUGGGGUGAGGCUAACUCGGGACCGCUACCCCGUGCAGCGGCUGCCGUUCUCCGUGGUGUCUGAGGACGACCUGGCCGCCCUGGAGCGCAUCAUCCCUGGCAGGGUCAUCACAGACCCAGAGGAGCUGGAGGCUCCGAACGUAGACUGGCUGAGGACGGUCCGAGGCUCCAGCAAGGUGCUCCUCCGGCCCCGGACAUCCCAGGAGGUGGCUCAAAUCCUCAGGUACUGUCACGAGAGGAACCUGGCGGUGAACCCACAGGGCGGCAACACAGGCCUGGUGGGGGGCAGCACCCCCGUCUUUGACGAGAUCGUCCUGUCCACAGCCCUCAUGAGCCAGGUCCUCAGCUUCCACGACGUGUCAGGGGUUCUGGUUUGCCAGGCGGGGUGCGUCCUGGAGGAGCUGAGCCGGUACGUGGAGGAGCGGGGCUUCGUCAUGCCGCUGGACCUGGGGGCUAAGGGCAGCUGCCACAUUGGGGGCAACGUGGCGACCAACGCGGGUGGCCUGCGGUUUCUGCGAUACGGCUCACUGCGCGGGACUGUCUUGGGCCUGGAAGUGGUACUGGCCGACGGCACCCUCCUGAACUGCCUGACGUCACUGCGGAAGGACAACACGGGCUAUGACCUGAAGCAGCUCUUCAUCGGCUCAGAGGGCACCCUGGGGGUCAUCACCGCUGUGUCCAUCCUGUGUCCGCCCAAGCCCAGUGCCGUGAACGUGGCCUUCCUUGGUUGUCCUGGCUUCGCGGAGGUGCUGCAGACCUUCAGCACCGGCAGGAGGCUGCUGGGCGAGAUCCUGUCGGCGUUCGAGUUCAUGGACGCCGAGUGCCUGCAGCUGGUCGGGCGCCACCUGCAUCUCACCAACCCCGUGCAAGAAAGUCCAUUCUAUGUUCUCAUCGAGACCUCGGGCUCUGGAGCAGAUCACGAUGCUGAGAAGCUGAGCAGCUUCCUGGAGCAGGUCCAGGGCUCCGGGCUGGUGACCGACGGGACCCUGGCCACCGAUCAGAGGAGAAUCCAGGCGCUAUGGGCCCUGCGGGAAAGGAUCUCAGAGGCCCUGAGCCACGACGGCUACGUGUACAAAUACGACCUGUCCCUGCCCCUGGACCGGCUCUACGACCUUGUGGACGACCUGCGUGCCCGCCUCGGCCCGAGUGCAAAGCACGUGGUGGGCUACGGCCACCUGGGGGACGGCAACCUGCACCUCAAUGUGACGGCGGAGGCCUUCUGCGAGUCGCUGCUGGGGGCCCUGGAGCCCUACGUGUAUGAGUGGACGGCCGGCAGCGGGGCAGCGUCAGUGCCGAGCACGGCCUGGGCUUCAAGAAGAGGGAUGUCCUCGGCUACAGCAAGCCCCCCGAGGCCCUGCGGCUCAUGCAGCAGCUCAAGGCCCUCCUGGACCCCAAAGGCAUCCUGA